This 576-nucleotide unclassified non-coding RNA is filed under the name Hevea brasiliensis (rubber tree). The record is from RNAcentral. Lineage: Eukaryota; Viridiplantae; Streptophyta; Magnoliopsida; Malpighiales; Euphorbiaceae.
UUUUUUUUUUUUUUUAAGGUAUUUGAGGGUUUUAAUGAGAAAACCUUCUCAAACAACCGAUUUGGUAGAUAGGAAAAUAGAGGUUUGGGAGGUUUCAAUAAUCUCCAAAAACCAUACUUUAAUCCCAAACACAUAUCCAAGAUUUUGAAAUGUUGAAAAACGUCCCAUUACUUUAUAAAACUUCCUCUCAAACAGAGGCUAAAAGGCUCUAGAAAGCUUAUCUUCACCCCACAAUCUAAUUCAAAUUGUCAUCAAGAUGUAAAUCCUAUAUUUCCAAUCUGCAGCAGCACUUUUCUCAAAUGAAACAUAUAUGAAUCAGAAAGCUAAUAUACCAGUCUGAAUUUAGUUUACAUGUCAAAAGUGUUUUAGGUAAUGCAAAGUUAACCUUUACAUCCUUGAACAUGUUCAUAUAAAAAGGAUGUUUGAAAUGCAUCACCCAUUGUCUGGAGUCUAACAAAAUCUUGUGAAGUUCUAAAUCUAAUAAUAGAUUAAUUCAAUAAAUAAUGUACAUCCAGAUAAAUGACAUGCUUAAUUAAAUUUAAGCUCGGUACAAGUUUCUGUUGUUCUUUAUGUCUG